This 443-nucleotide ribosomal RNA is filed under the name uncultured bacterium. Its description in RNAcentral is "partial 16S ribosomal RNA". It matches the Rfam family "Bacterial small subunit ribosomal RNA", at positions 338 to 795 of the family's 1533-position model. The record is from RNAcentral.
CCUACGGGAGGCAGCAGUGGGGAAUCUUGGACAAUGGGGGGAACCCUGAUCCAGCGACGCCGCGUGAGUGAAGAAGUAUUUCGGUAUGUAAAGCUCUAUCAGCAGGGAAGAAAGAAAUGACGGUACCUGACUAAGAAGCACAGGCUAACUACGUGCCAGCAGACGCUGUAAUACGUAGGGGGCAAGCGUUAUCCGGAUUUACUGGGUGUAAAGGCAGCGUAGACGGCGAUGCAAGUCUGAAGUGAAAGGCGGGGGCCCAACCCCCAGACUGCUUUGGAAACUGUAUGGCUGGAGUGCAGGAGAGGUAAGUGGAAUUGCUAGUGUAGCGGUGAAAUGCGUAGAUAGUAGGAGGAACACCAGUGGCGAAGGCGGCUUACUGGACUGUAACUGACGUUGAGGCUCGAAAGCGUGGGGAGCAAACAGGAUUAGAUACCCCGGUAGUC